RNAcentral lists this ribosomal RNA (497 nucleotides) under uncultured bacterium. RNAcentral's name for it is "partial 16S ribosomal RNA". It matches the Rfam family "Bacterial small subunit ribosomal RNA", at positions 28 to 507 of the family's 1533-position model. The record is from RNAcentral.
GAUGAACGCUGGCGGCGUGCCUAAUACAUGCAAGUCGAGCGAACAGACGAGGAGCUUGCUCCUCUGACGUUAGCGGCGGACGGGUGAGUAACACGUGGAUAACCUACCUAUAAGACUGGGAUAACUUCGGGAAACCGGAGCUAAUACCGGAUAAUAUAUUGAACCGCAUGGUUCAAUAGUGAAAGACGGUUUUGCUGUCACUUAUAGAUGGAUCCGCGCCGCAUUAGCUAGUUGGUAAGGUAACGGCUUACCAAGGCAACGAUGCGUAGCCGACCUGAGAGGGUGAUCGGCCACACUGGAACUGGGGCACGGUCCAGACUCCUACGGGGGGCAGCAGUAGGGAAUCUUCCGCAAUUGGCGAAAGCUUGACGGAGCAACGCCGCGUGAGUGAUGAAGGUCUUCGGAUCGUAAAACUCUGUUAUUAGGGAAGAACAAAUGUGUAAGUAACUAUGCACGUCUUGACGGUACCUUAUCAGAAAGCCACGGCUAACUACGUG